RNAcentral lists this unclassified non-coding RNA (422 nucleotides) under Melitaea cinxia (Glanville fritillary). RNAcentral describes it as "misc RNA ENSMCXG00005019639.1". Lineage: Eukaryota; Metazoa; Arthropoda; Insecta; Lepidoptera; Nymphalidae. The record is from RNAcentral.
ACUAUCUUUCGUCUCCAUCAUCAGACUUUAAUGGCACUUGUAACUCAUAUAGGUGCAAAGUUCUCAUCAAUAGAAACAAAUUAAGUUCAAACAGCAGGUAAUUGCUUUAAAUUGUUGAAGAGUUCCCUCGACUAUCUUUCUUCUCCAUCAUCAGAUCGACUCCAGACCUUUAUUAAAUAGUAGUGCUUUAUAGUACUUAAUGAAAACAUGAUGAAAUUUACUAGUCACCCUUACGAUUUUUGAAAGUUUCCCUCGAUUUCUCUGGGAUUCCAUCAUCAGAUCCUGGUUUCCUUAUCAUGGUACCAAACUAUGAAUAUCUCCUUUCCAACAAAAAAAGAAUUAUCAAAAUCGGUUCAUAAACGAAGAAGUUAUCUCCGAACAUACAUAAAAAAAAAAUAUAUAUAUAUACGGUCGAAUUGAGU